GGUGCCGUAGGCAAAUGGGUAAAGCCACAGGACCUUUCAAUCUUGUGUUUGCGGGUUCAACUCCCGUCGGCACUGCCA
Molecule: transfer RNA, 78 nt
Filed under: Pantanalinema sp. GBBB05
Lineage: Bacteria; Bacillati; Cyanobacteriota; Cyanophyceae; Leptolyngbyales; Leptolyngbyaceae
Description: tRNA-Lys
Rfam family: tRNA
About the family: Transfer RNA (tRNA) molecules are approximately 80 nucleotides in length. Their secondary structure includes four short double-helical elements and three loops (D, anti-codon, and T loops).
Source: RNAcentral